This 570-nucleotide ribosomal RNA is filed under the name Staphylococcus aureus. RNAcentral describes it as "bacterial SSU rRNA". It matches the Rfam family "Bacterial small subunit ribosomal RNA", at positions 972 to 1533 of the family's 1533-position model. The record is from RNAcentral. Lineage: Bacteria; Bacillati; Bacillota; Bacilli; Caryophanales; Staphylococcaceae.
UACCAAAUCUUGACAUCCUUUGACAACUCUAGAGAUAGAGCCUUCCCCUUCGGGGGACAAAGUGACAGGUGGUGCAUGGGUGUCGUCAGCUCGUGUCGUGAGAUGUUGGGUUAAGUCCCGCAACGAGCGCAACCCUUAAGCUUAGUUGCCAUCAUUAAGUUGGGCACUCUAAGUUGACUGCCGGUGACAAACCGGAGGAAGGGGGGGAUGACGUCAAAUCAUCAUGCCCCUUAUGAUUUGGGCUACACACGUGCUACAAUGGACAAUACAAAGGGCAGCGAAACCGCGAGGUCAAGCAAAUCCCAUAAAGUUGUUCUCAGUUCGGAUUGUAGUCUGCAACUCGACUACAUGAAGCUGGAAUCGCUAGUAAUCGUAGAUCAGCAUGCUACGGUGAAUACGUUCCCGGGUCUUGUACACACCGCCCGUCACACCACGAGAGUUUGUAACACCCGAAGCCGGUGGAGUAACCUUUUAGGAGCUAGCCGUCGAAGGUGGGACAAAUGAUUGGGGUGAAGUCGUAACAAGGUAGCCGUAUCGGAAGGUGCGGCUGGAUCACCUCCUUUCUAAGGA